This is a long non-coding RNA of Mangifera indica (mango), 3681 nucleotides long. RefSeq lists it as uncharacterized. Lineage: Eukaryota; Viridiplantae; Streptophyta; Magnoliopsida; Sapindales; Anacardiaceae. The record is from RefSeq and is a predicted model, not a curated record. The transcript has 2 exons.
AUCUCUCUCUCUCUUCUCUAUCUCAAUAGCAUGCUUAGCGAUAAUUUUUAAUUAAUUUAAUGCAGUUUGUUGAUGUUUGUGCUGUAGAGAUGUUAAUUUUCCCCGUGUAUGUGGCUACCUUUGUAUUUCUUUAUUAGCUUAGUUGUGUGUGAUACAGCUACAUGAUCAAAUAGAAAGUAGAAACCUAUUUUCUUAAGGGAAGAAAAUUAGGCUCACGUUGGCAGGCAAACGCACAUGAAUAAUAGUGAUUGCAUUUAUAGGCCGUGCUCCCAUGUUGGGUUCUGAAUUGCCUCUGCAGCCUAAAUAUUAGAUCAGAUCUUCGUCCUUUCUAUUGUUGAUUUGUGAUUUUAGUGCUUAAAGUCUUUUAUGUCCGUAGCCUCCUGUUUCCUUUCUGCUAUUGGGAAUAAAACUUAAAUCUUAAAAGAAAUAAAGAAAACGUGGAGACAUCUUCGCCACAGUGAGGCUUUUAAACAAUUGAGCUGGUUUUUCUUCUACUAAAUAUGGUUGUUGCUGUGCUAGUAUGGAUGAGGCAUUUAAUACUUGCGAAAUCAUGAUCAUUGUUUAAUGUUUUCAACUGUCUAUAUCAAAUUGGCUACUGCAUGGAUAUCGGUAAUAUUAGGGAGGGUAUUUGGAUGUAUAUGAAAAACUUUGCUGAAGCACUUGUUGAACCAACUUGUACUUCAUGAGUCAAAUUUACUGAAGCAAUUUACAUGUAAAUGUUUAAUUUCAUUUUUUCAAAUCUAAACCAAAUCUAUCUCCACCUUGGUGUAUGUGAGAUUUACUUUCUAUACUGUUUGUACAACACCAACACCAAACGUUUCAAUUGGUUGAGCAUACUAGUGGUCCUAGUUUUCUGCAAUAUUAAUGCAAAUAGUUAUGGUAAUUCAUUUGCCUUUUUCUUUUGUCUGCUGUAAAAGAUUUUUUUACUAAUUGACAUCUGUAAUGGUAGUGUUUUUAUCCGUAUUUCUGGUUUUAUGACUAGAUUUUCUGUUUCCAGUGGAGUGUGGGUUGCUGUGCAUGCCUGAGUAGGAAUUUAAAACAACUACUCGACAAUGGUCUACUGUGAAAGUCUAUUUAAAUGCUUGUCUUCUGAAAAAUAUUUCUUUUCACAUUAAAAAAAGUCUAGAGAAUAGUUGCAGUUCACAUGUAUAAAAUAUAAUCUCAAGUGAAAGCAAAUCUCGUUUCUCCAUCAUCCACAUCAUUAACAUAAAUGGAUACCCAUUAGAAUCUUUCGAUGAACACAAGAUAUCAUGGUAGAGUCGAGUACAAAUAGUUAGGUUCCCAAAAUAUUACAUUUCCUUAAGUUAGGUCACUGAUCUCCUCUUCUAUUACUUUCGAUUUUCAUGAUCACUGAUGAUUCUAUUUUGAGGUUGAGUAAAUAAUAAAAUAAUGGAUGGAUUUAUAGGGUUUCGUAAUGAGUACAGAUGGACUUUGUCGCCGGAGUUGGUAUUUAUUUAUACUUUUGUACUGUCACAGCAACAAUCGUAUAUAUAUAAUAUGGUUCUAGCUAUUUUUAGCAUCACUUGACAGAAUAUAUGUAUUAUUAAUUCGUUAUACCUGUUGCUGCACUGCUUUGAGGUUCUGGAUUUGGAUUGGAACGAAGUACCUUUUAUGUGUAAAGCCAGUGAUUAAUAUACUUUUCGAUAUGGUUAUGUGUGAACCUAAAGUCUGAAUUUAAAAGGAAGAUAUCACUGUAGAGGCAUAUGGCUUGUUAGCCAUUGAAGGUUUUUGUCUGAGGGGCUUUGUUCUCUUUUUCAGUUAAUGCAUGCUGGAACUGAUUCUUUGAAUUUUCUAGUGUGGCGCUUGUGUACACUAGACUUAUCUUGAAAAUAAAAUUUUGAGUAACAUAGGAUCAUCACAUGCUCUUAAUUUAAUUAUAUAGGGUCUAAUUAAAAAUCUGAAUCGUAUUUGUCUUUGAAAUGUUUUUAUUAAAGCUAUCUUUGUUUGUCUCUUGGGAGAUUCACGACAUGUUCAUAACAAUCCUUAAGAUUGAACGUAUUUAUCAAAUUUAUAAGACUUGUUUAACAUCUUAUUGGAGAGAUCUUGAAUCACCCCAAGAUAUGCCUCUUCUUUAUACGUUAUCACAUAUCGUCUUUUUUCCAUAUGAUAAUUCGUCAUCCUUAAAUAUAGUAUUUGGUGUAGAACGCACAUUUGAUGAAUUAACAUUUAAAUCUUGUUUGUAUGUGCCUACCAUGUAUCUUGUCUUCUCAUUGUUUGCUAAAAAAAGUCGUCUUGUAUCUCACCAUGAACAUGCAGCAUUAAUGUAAUUGGUUUUUGUUUUAUGUGGAUAUCCCUAGAAUUUGAAUAUGCAGUGCAAGAUUGAAAUCAUUCAAAAGGUUAUUUGUCAAGGUUUUUGUCUGUGAUGUUACAUUUAUGAGGUGUGAUGGCAUGUUCAUUCUCUAGAUCUAUUGCUUAGUUACAGGUGGGCAAUGCUUAGCCUGCAAUUUUAAUUUUCUCUUUAUUUAAGAUAUUUUCCUUUGAUGUUAAUUACUUCACAUCCUUAAUAAACCUAUUACCAUAUGUCAGUAUUUUGUUGAUGCUGAUACUAAUUCAUACCUUUACAACCAGACAGUUGACCAUAUUUACAAUUUUUUUGAGUUUAGCCUUACCAUGUUAUUAUACAUGGUCAUUUUUAAUUUUAGAGUUAUUUUGAACGACUUUGGACAACUGGACUACUGGUGCAGGAAAAUGUACAUUUGGAUUUAUCUAUCUAUAAUAAGGAAUUUACGUCUCUUGUGCAGCGGGGCUGCAUUUGUUUAUCCAACUGAGAGCUCGGGGAUGGCAAAAUUGCGGGUCUUCAACUUCAUGAAUAUGGAAAAUUUAACCUACGUGGGCCAAGCUUCUGCAUGGUGAUUUACAUGCUGCCUCAAUUCUCGAACCGAUAAACAUAAGGGAAAGCAGAAACUGUAAAUGCUAGUGCUAGGCUAUUUCAAAGAUAAACCAUGCACAAAUCAAUGCCCUCGGCCUCCAUUAUAAGUAGGGGACCAUUUAAUCUAAGUGAAAAAAUGGAAGUCUCCCGCGGUUAUCGCUGCAGCCAGCUGCCAUAUCAUCAUUAAGAUUCACUCUCUGCAACCCAGUUAGGGUUAUUCGCUUUAGAAAGUGGUUUCUAGCCACAAUUGACACAUGUGAUAUCACUGUCACUCCUUUCUCUGUGUUUGGCUCUGUUGUCUCGUGGGAGAUACAAGUAAUAAUUUAUUAUACUCAACUUGAAUGACUUUUCGAUAACUGAGUCUGAACCCAGAACAAUAUCUUUGUAUUUUGUGUCCAAAUUUUCUUUUCCAACAAAACUGUGUGGUUGGGGGGAGUGUACGUGAAUGGCUUUGCUGUUUUAGUGACAGAGAUUGGGAAGAUGAAAAAGUAGUGCGUGCCUUGCGCGUUACCUCUUUCUAUCAACAGUCAAACACUCGACAGUAAACUAUGCCUGCCGCAAGACCGCCGUACCCUCCAUCUGUCAUUCUGAUACGACUAGACGGGCCUUCCGAAUAUUUUUCUUUGCCGCCACUCUCACACACCCCCACGCUGUCUCUUUCUCCGAUACACACACACGCUUUCUUUAAAAUGUGAAAGAAAGUACAAGUGUUACAUCACAUCCGGGGUAACCAUGCAGCAGGCUUAUCUUGCAUCUUUCUCUUUCUAAUUUUAUUUAUCAAAUAUUUUUUUUAGCAGUUUUAGGAAAACUAC